Scylla paramamosain (green mud crab) is the source of this 4155-nucleotide long non-coding RNA. RefSeq lists it as uncharacterized. NCBI's taxonomy places the organism in Eukaryota, Metazoa, Arthropoda, Malacostraca, Decapoda, Portunidae. The record is from RefSeq and is a predicted model, not a curated record. The transcript has 5 exons.
AUAAUGGCCUGAGAUUUAUUUUUACACGCUUAUAAUUCUUUAUAUUUAAUUUUCUAUUAGUUUAGUAUAAUAUAAAAGAAGUUGGUGCUUGUUAUUGAAAGCUAAGUGUGUUGUGGAUAGGUUUGCCUGCGUACUGUGCGGAGCAGGCUGGGACGGACGACACAACCAGACGUCAGACACAAGGCACUAGGUUAAAAGGGUGCCAUAAACUGGUGCUUUAUUUAACGUAUUUUCGCAGAACAAGACAGUGACAGGGGCCGUGGUGGGUGCCUGCGUGUGCUGGUGCAAGCUUGGUGCCUGCCGGGAGGUGCCUGCAGUGCCACAAGGGAUAAUAUUGGUAAGAAACCGGCCCACCACUUGUCCAGCCAGCUAAUUUGCACAGUGUGAUGUAACAGGCGGUAACUGUGAUAGUGUUGUUACGUGUCACCCACAACAACAACAACACAGGGCUGUCAGAUACAAAUGUAGAGGGACGAAAUAGGGAAGCAGGAAGACCACCACCACCACCACCAUCACCACCAGCAGUGUGGAAGAAAGUUUAGGCAAGCGAAGAAAGUUGGAAAAUUAAUAAUUAAACGCUUGCUGUCUUUUAUUAUCUUGAGUAUAAAAUGGUUAUAUGACAAUCUCUCUCUCUCUCUCUCUCUCUCUCUCUCUCUCUCUCUCUCUCUCUCUCUCUCUCUCUCUCUCUCUCUCUCUCUCUCUCUCUCUCUCUCUCUCAGCUUUGUAUUAGUUACCCGUUGACAGAAGUGACAGCCGCGUUUUCUCUUGUCAGAUGUAAACAAAGCGGUAGUUUCCUUCCAGCUGGUGAUAAAACUCUUUCUCGCUCUUCCUCACUCUCCCACGUCACGGAAGCAGUGUGUGUGUGUGUGUGUGUGUGUGUGUGUGAAGAAGAAAAUGUUAUAUUAUAUCUACGUGUUUAAAAGUUUCCUUCAUUUAAGUCCAAAGAGGCUGGCUGGCUGAUGCUAAGGAAGGAAGAAAGGGGUGGUGUUUAGGGGUCUGGGAUGGAAAGCGAGUGAUGUGUUUUGUAGCCUUCAGAUAAAAAAUAUUAACAAAGUUUACACAGUGGGAAAAUUUUGGUGGUGAGAGAGAAAAUGACUAAAAUAUUACCUCAAAUUUAACCAAACGUGGUGGAGCUUCACACUCCUCAGCUGACCCUAAUCAAACCAAGCCUAACCCAAAGAAGCCUACCCUAACUUCUGUCUGGUGCUUCCUCCUCCCCAAGACUGGCUAUCUCGUGUCUUAAUCCCAAGCUGGCCUAACCAAACUUUACCUAACCUAACCUAAGCAAUUCUAACCUAGCCAAACCUUACCUAAGCAAGCCUAACCUAGCCAAGCCUUACCUAACCUAACCUAACCUAACCUAGCCAAACCUUACCUAAGCAAGCCUAACCUAGCCAAGCCUUACCUAACCUAACCUAACCUAACCUAACCUAGCCAAACCUUACCUAAGCAAGCCUAACCUAGCCAAGCCUUACCUAACCUAACCUAACCUAACCUCACCUAACCUAACCUAAAGAAACCUAGCCAAACCUAACAUAACCUAGCCUAACCAAACCUAACCUAACCUACAUCCUCUUCCCACGGCCCCACUUAACCAAACCUAAUGUAACUUUCAGAGCAACGGCAACCCUCCGAUCCGGCAAGCAAGUUGGCGGCAGCGAUGGCGGUGGCGGCGGCAGUGGUGGUGAGGUGGACGGCAGGGACAGAGGGGCAGUACAGGCUGCGGACAUCAAGGAGAAGGUGAGCAGGGUGUUGUGUUGGUGUGUGUUGGUGUGUGUUGCUAAGCUGAGAUGCAAUAUUUGUCACUCAACACUCGUGCAACACUGCCUCCAUGCACAAGUGUGUCGGGAAAAUGAUUUAAAGUCGUAAAAAUGUUCUUGUUUUACUUUAUUUAUUUAUUUAUUGAUUUUGUUUUAUUUUUUGUAUAUAUAGGAGGGACACUGGUCAAAGGGAACUAAGUACAAUAAGAAAAAAAUACUGAGAAAAAAUAAAAGAUAAAAAAGACCUCACUUAACCUAACCUAACCUAACAUAAGCUAACUUAACCUAACAUAACUUAGCCUAACCUCUUUUAACCUAACAUAACUUAACCUAACUUAACUUAACCUAACCUAACCUAACUUAACCUAACCUCUUUUAACCUAACCUCUUUUAACCUAACCUAACCUAACUUAACUUAACCUAACCUAACUUAACCUAACCUCACUUAACCUCACUUAACCUAACCUAACGUAACUUAACCUAACCUAACCUAACCUCACUUAACCUAACCUCACUUAACCUAACAUAACCUAACCUCACUUAACCUAACGUAACCUAACCUAACCUAACACCCACAGAGGAACGCACGGACAAGCAAGGUGUUAUUCGGCAGUCUGAUCCUGGACCUGCUCGGCUUGAAGGUGGUGCUGCCCGUGUCUCCUGCUCUCCUCGACUGUUACUCCAAGCACAACACCAGCGGCUUGUAUUCCUCUCAGCUCUCCUGUGUGACUUAUUACCAGCAUAUCAUCGGUUUCGCUGCGAGGUUCCAUUCUGUCUUGUUUGGUAAUUAAGUGGGUUUGUUGUGUUUUGUAUUGGUUUAUAUAUUUUUAGCUUGUUUUUAUUAUUAUUUUUUUCAAUUUUUUUAUCCUAUUAUCUAUUUAUUUAUUUUUUGUUUGUUUGUUUGUUUACAGGGUGUGUGUGUGUUUGUUUGUGUUCCUGCUGUUCAAUAUUGCAGCUUGUUUUCUUUAUUAUUGUUAUUUUGUGUUUUAUUCUAUUUCAGUGUUCUGAGGGAGUCUUCAGGUGUUUUUGGGGUGUUUUGGGGUGUUUUUGGAGUGUUUUGGGGUGUUUUUGGUGUGUUGUGAAGUGUUUUGAUGUGUUUUGGGGUGGUUAAGGGGUGUUUUGAAGUGUUUUGUGGUGUUGUGGAGGUGUUUUGGGAUUUUUGGUGUGUUUUAAAGUGUUUUGGGAUGUUUUUGGAAUGUUUUGAUGUGUUUUGAGAUGUUUAGGAGUAUUUUUGGAGUAUUUUGGUGUGUUUUUGGAGUGUUUUGGGAUGUGUUUGUAGUGUUUUGGGGUGUUUUGGGGUAUUUUGAAGGUGUUUUGGUGUGUUUUUGGAGUGUUUUGGGGUAUUUUGGGAUGUUUUGGUGUGUUUUGGGUUAUUUUGAGAGUGUUUUGGUGUGUUUUUGGAGUGUUUCUGGGUGUUUUGGAGUAUUUUGAGGGUGUUUAAAGGUGUUGUGGUAGUUUAAAAUAUAUUGUUAGUUUACUUUUUUUUAACUUUUUAUUUUCUUAUGCAUUAUUUUAUUUCUUAUUUAUAUUGUGGUGUGUUGUCGGUGUGUCCUAACCUAACCUAACCAGCCUACCCUCUCCUAACCUCCCCUCAACCCACAGGCACUGAUUGGCGUGACAUUCAGCAUAGGCUUCACCGUCGGGCACACUGUGGGGGCUGCGUUCUCCCGCUGGGGAAGUACUGGGUGGUUCGCGGCCUCGGCUGUCUACGCACGCACUCUCACUGUGGCUAACAUAAUAUUCUUUGCUGUCUUCUUCCAGGAAUCGCUGCCUGAGGGCAGAAGGAGGAGGGACAUCGGUGCCAGUUUGACCGAGGCUUGGGAGGUGAUCAAUCCUAGGGCUCUGUUCUCCGUCAGCUGUGUCAAGGGCCUGGGCAGAGAAGCCUGGAGUUAACGCUGAUCUUCGCGACCCACCACAAGCAUAGUUACGACUCGUUGGCGCAGGACCGCAAGUUUUCCUUCCUGGGCCUGGUCAUGGCAAUUACACAGAGAGGGUUUAUGCGAAGUGUUAAGACUGGAACUGAAAAAGCACCUGCCAAUUAGGCACACACCUACAUUGUGAUGCAGCUCCUUGGAGGUGGAGAGCUGGCUGCCUCAGAGGAUCAGGAAACACGAGAGGUUCACAGAGGCUCGCCUCGGGCUUCGGUCGUCGUGAGGAACCUGGUGUCAGCAGUUCACUACGUGCACAGGAAAAGCAUCAGUGUUCACGGAGACCUAAAGCCAGACAGGGGUGAAAAGGGUUGGUGUUGAGGAUAGACAGAAAAGAAAAGAAAGGAAAGGUAAAAAAAGGAAGUUUUUUUGCAUUGAUUUUCCAUCUGCUUAUUUUAAAGAAUUUAUUGCAUGGAAUAUUAUUGAUCUCCAUCAUUUGUAUGGCCUUUAUAAUAAAAAGUAUGAAU